AAUAAGUGUAAUUUUAGCACUAUUCAUGUUCAACGUUUGACCAUUCGUCUUAUUUGAAAAAAGAUUAUGAUUAGUAUUUUUAUUAUUAUUAGAUGAUAAAACAUGAAUAGCACUUUAUGUGUGACUAAUUUUUUUAAUAUUUUUCAUUAAUUUUUUCAAAUAAGACAGAUGGUCAAAGCGCUAAACACGGAUAUCUAUGGUUGCACUUAUU
Molecule: microRNA precursor, 211 nt
Organism: Oryza sativa Indica Group (long-grained rice)
Lineage: Eukaryota; Viridiplantae; Streptophyta; Magnoliopsida; Poales; Poaceae
Rfam family: MIR812 microRNA precursor family
Source: Rfam